UACGGAGGGUGCGAGCGUUGUCCGGAAUCACUGGGCGUAAAGGGCGCGUAGGCGGCUUCUCAAGCGUGUGGUGAAAGUCCGGGGCUCAACCCCGGAUCGGCCGUGCGGACUGGGGAGCUCGAGUUCUGUAGAGGCGGGUGGAAUUCCGGGUGUAGCGGUGGAAUGCGUAGAGAUCCGGAAGAACACCGGUGGCGAAGGCGGCCCGCUGGGCAGAGACUGACGCUGAGGCGCGACAGCGUGGGGAGCAAACGAGGAG
RNAcentral lists this ribosomal RNA (256 nucleotides) under uncultured bacterium. Its description in RNAcentral is "partial 16S ribosomal RNA". It matches the Rfam family "Bacterial small subunit ribosomal RNA", at positions 524 to 779 of the family's 1533-position model. The record is from RNAcentral.